This is a non-coding RNA of Doryrhamphus excisus (bluestripe pipefish), 990 nucleotides long. The record is from RefSeq and is a predicted model, not a curated record. NCBI's taxonomy places the organism in Eukaryota, Metazoa, Chordata, Actinopteri, Syngnathiformes, Syngnathidae.
CGGACAUAUCAGACAGUAGUAAGGUAAACAAUCACACGUGAGAGCUUCGUCACGAAAACGUGGUCUUUUACUCUACUAUAAAGUGAGGAAAAGAGGACAAAAAAGGGAUCCAAAAGAGCUUCCCCUCCUUCCUGCAUGUUGUUAUCUUAUCUGUCUAGCUACACAGAGCUACUAGGAAUCAGGUGUGAAGACGUCAAGGAGACAUAUCACCUUUGGAGGAGCAAAGACAUCUCAGUUAGAUAAUUCUCCUCAUGCAUUGAAGACCCAACACUGGUUGACUUCCAAGAGGCAGGAUUGAGGUUAUGUAUUUUUUUAUGGGGCUGCAUGGUGGUGAGUGGUUAGCAUGUUGGCCACACAGUCAGGAGCAUGGGUUUUCUCCGAAUACUCCAGUUUUCCCAGAUUUUUCCCGGACUUUACAGUAUAUUUUAUAUAACUAUAUAAUACAUUGUUUACAGUAAAGCCUGUCUUCACAAGCAGGAACACUGCAUGAACGGAUGUGGGCUCAACAACAACAAACAACACUCCCAUCUUGGCCCUGAAGCUGGGAUGAGAUUAUGUGUCAACUUUGCCCUUGAAUACUGUACCUUCAAUCUAAAUUCCCUAUUUUUUUUUUACUUACAUUUUCAUGUUGUAUAUGACGAAGCAGCCUGAGCUCUCUGUAGGCUCGUUUGGUGUGGAUGAGGGACUGGAAAGGACGAUACAGCUUCUUGAUAGCAACCUUCUCCUUAGUGUUCUGGUCUAUGGCAGAGCUGACACGCAAUUUUACAUUAAAUGACGCAAGAUAUACAUAUAUAUAACUUCUGUGUAUAAUGACUCUUGCAAGAAAAACAAAAUAACUCUAUUGUUAAACUAAUAGUAUUAUAACUGUACAUAUAACUGACUAAAGUAUAGUAUACCUGAUGUACUGUAUAGGUCAGUGUAUAUGACUAAGACAGCAAUUUUAAACCUGUCAGCCAUUAGUGGUGGUUUAUCGUUAGAUAUGUGGUCUUC